AAUAAGUGCAGUUUUGCACUAUUCACGUUUAACGUUUGACCGUUCGUCUUAUUUGAAAUUUUUUUAUGAUUAGUAUUUUUAUUACUAUUAGAUAAUAAAACAUGAAUAGUAUAUUAUGUGUGACUAAAUAUUUUUAAAUUUUUCAAAUAAGACGGACGGUCAAACGUUGGACACGGAUAUUCAUGACUGCACUUAUU
This is a non-coding RNA of Oryza glumipatula, 197 nucleotides long. The record is from Rfam. NCBI's taxonomy places the organism in Eukaryota, Viridiplantae, Streptophyta, Magnoliopsida, Poales, Poaceae.